This 253-nucleotide ribosomal RNA is filed under the name uncultured bacterium. Its description in RNAcentral is "partial 16S ribosomal RNA". It matches the Rfam family "Bacterial small subunit ribosomal RNA", at positions 524 to 776 of the family's 1533-position model. The record is from RNAcentral.
GACGAACCGAGCGAACGUUGUUCGGAAUCACUGGGCUUAAAGGGCGCGUAGGCGGGUGCUCAAGUCCGUGGUGAAAUCCCCCGGCUCAACCGGAGAACUGCCUCGGAUACUGGAUGCCUCGAGGGUGGUAGGGGUAUGCGGAACUAUCGGUGGAGCGGUGAAAUGCGUUGAUAUCGAUAGGAACUCCGGUGGCGAAGGCGGCAUACUGGACCACCUCUGACGCUGAGGCGCGAAAGCCAGGGGAGCAAACGGG